Molecule: long non-coding RNA, 268 nt
Filed under: Homo sapiens (human)
Lineage: Eukaryota; Metazoa; Chordata; Mammalia; Primates; Hominidae
Description: HSALNT0176176
Source: RNAcentral
CACUUUGGGUCCUUUCAGGUUAAGAUCAAUGUCAGGAACUUUCAUGUCACCUUCCACUUUUGGCAGAGACACAUCCAUGUCACCCUUCACUUUGGGACCUUUCAGGUUAAGAUCAAUGUCAGGCAUGGAGAUCUUGGGGGCUUUGAUGUUCAUCUCAGGCAUUUUGAAUUUGGGACCUUUCAACUUUCCCUCUGGGCCUUCGAUAUUCACAUCUGGAACAUCAAUGUCCACCUUGGGUCCUGAGACAUCAAGGUCAGCCUUGGGCAGG